This 558-nucleotide ribosomal RNA is filed under the name uncultured bacterium. RNAcentral's name for it is "bacterial SSU rRNA". It matches the Rfam family "Bacterial small subunit ribosomal RNA", at positions 777 to 1333 of the family's 1533-position model. The record is from RNAcentral.
AAUAGAUACCCGGGUAGGUCCACGCCGUAAACGAUGAGUGCUAAGUGUUAGGGGGUUUCCGCCCCUUAGUGGCUGCAGCUAACGCAUUAAGCACUCCGCCUGGGGAGUACGGUCGCAAGACUGAAACUCAAAGGAAUUGACGGGGGGCCCGCACAAGCGGUGGAGCAUGUGGUUUAAUUCGAAGCAACGCGAAGAACCUUACCAGGUCUUGACAUCCCAUUGACCACUAUGGAGACAUAGUUUUCCCUUCGGGGACAACGGUGACAGGUGGUGCAUGGUUGUCGUCAGCUCGUGUCGUGAGAUGUUGGGUUAAGUCCCGCAACGAGCGCAACCCUUGUUCUUAGUUGCCAUCAUUUAGUUGGGCACUCUAAGGAGACUGCCGGUGACAAACCGGAGGAAGGUGGGGAUGACGUCAAAUCAUCAUGCCCCUUAUGACCUGGGCUACACACGUGCUACAAUGGACGGUACAAACGGUUGCCAACCCGCGAGGGGGAGCUAAUCCGAUAAAACCGUUCUCAGUUCGGAUUGUAGGCUGCAACUCCGCCUACAUGAAGGACC